UCGAGAAUAUUCGACAAUGGACGAAAGUCUGAUCGAGCGACGCCGCGUAUAGGAUGAAGAUCUUAGGAUUGUAAACUAUUUUUCUCGCAGAAUAAGUAAUUGAAUGUAUGCGGGGAAUAAGGGGUUGCAAACCUCGUGCCAGCAGCAGCGGUAAUACGAGGACCCCGAGCGUUAUCCGGAUUUAUUGGGCGUAAAGAGUGCGCAGGAGGUUUUGUGCGUCUUCUGUUAAAUGUCACCGCUUAACGGUGUCACCGCAGGAGAUACGGCAGAACUAGAGCAUGUUAGAGGUGACUAGAACUCACGGUGUAGGGGUGAAAUCCGUUGAUAUCGUGGGGAAUACCAAAGGCGAAGGCAUGUCACUGGAACAUUGCUGACUCUCAUGCACGAAAGCGUGGGGAGCAAAAAGGAUUAGAUACCCCUGUAGUCC
This 427-nucleotide ribosomal RNA is filed under the name uncultured bacterium. RNAcentral's name for it is "bacterial SSU rRNA". It matches the Rfam family "Bacterial small subunit ribosomal RNA", at positions 355 to 796 of the family's 1533-position model. The record is from RNAcentral.